GGGCUGGCUUUAGCUCAGCGGUUACUUCGCGUGUCAUCCAAACCACCUCUCUGGGUGGUUCGAGACCCGCGGGCGCUCUCCAGCUCUCUU
This 90-nucleotide vault RNA is filed under the name Pan paniscus (pygmy chimpanzee). RNAcentral describes it as "Vault RNA (ENSPPAG00000009160.1)". It matches the Rfam family "Vault RNA". Rfam says of the family: This family of RNAs are found as part of the enigmatic vault ribonucleoprotein complex. The record is from Rfam by way of RNAcentral. Lineage: Eukaryota; Metazoa; Chordata; Mammalia; Primates; Hominidae.